UACGUAGGGUGCAAGCGUUAAUCGGAAUUACUGGGCGUAAAGCGUGCGCAGGCGGCUAUGCAAGACAGAUGUGAAAUCCCCGGGCUCAACCUGGGAACUGCAUUUGUGACUGCAUGGCUAGAGUACGGUAGAGGGGGAUGGAAUUCCGCGUGUAGCAGUGAAAUGCGUAGAGAUGCGGAGGAACACCGAUGGCGAAGGCAGCCCCCUGGGCCAAUACUGACGCUCAGGCACGAAAGCGUGGGGAGCAAACAGG
This 253-nucleotide ribosomal RNA is filed under the name uncultured bacterium. Its description in RNAcentral is "partial 16S ribosomal RNA". It matches the Rfam family "Bacterial small subunit ribosomal RNA", at positions 524 to 776 of the family's 1533-position model. The record is from RNAcentral.